CCAACGUUUACUGUGACCCGUAUGGGUGU
This 29-nucleotide non-coding RNA is filed under the name Bombyx mori (domestic silkworm). Lineage: Eukaryota; Metazoa; Arthropoda; Insecta; Lepidoptera; Bombycidae. The record is from RNAcentral.